GCCCGAUGAUUAGAGGAACAUCAAAGACAAGCACAUGUCUGAAAUUAUGUGUUGACCAAUCCAAUCUUCUCUGUGAGGCC
Molecule: small nucleolar RNA, 80 nt
Filed under: Salix viminalis (osier)
Lineage: Eukaryota; Viridiplantae; Streptophyta; Magnoliopsida; Malpighiales; Salicaceae
Source: RNAcentral